This 460-nucleotide ribosomal RNA is filed under the name uncultured bacterium. RNAcentral's name for it is "partial 16S ribosomal RNA". It matches the Rfam family "Bacterial small subunit ribosomal RNA", at positions 338 to 795 of the family's 1533-position model. The record is from RNAcentral.
CCUACGGGUGGCAGCAGUGAGGAAUAUUGGUCAAUGGCCGGAAGGCUGAACCAGCCAUGCCGCGUGAAGGUCAGUGCCCUAUGGGCGUUAAACUUCUUUUGUGCGGGAGCAAUAAUGGUCACGUGUGGCCAGACGAGAGUACCGUACGCAUAAGCAUCGGCUAACUCCGUGCCAGCAGCCGCGGUAAUACGGGGGAUGCAAGCGUUAUCCGGAUUUAUUGGGUUUAAAGGGUGCGUAGGCUGUGAGGUAAGUCAGCGGGGAAAUGCCCCCGCGCAACGGGGUGAAGUGCCAUUGAUACUGGCUUGCUGGAAUGCGGAUGCGGUGGGAGGAAUGUGUGGUGUAGCAGUGAAAUGCAUAGAUAUCACACAGAACACCGAUUGCGAAGGCAUCUCACGAAUCCGCGAUUGACGCUGAUGCACGAAAGCGUGGGUAUCAAACAGGAUUAGAUACCCCAGUAGUC